CCCAAAUUAAAACAUAGGAGCAUGAGUCGUGAACUAUGGGCUAGCAAUUGAUAGAUGUUGGACCCGAAUACUUCAACCCAAAUAUUAGUAAACAUCAUAUGAACUUUGCCUGGGAAUUGUUCAGUGCUAUGGCUGUAUUGCGUCACAAAGUGCACCAGGGGCCAUAGCAUGUUAACUAAAAUCAGAUUAACAACCCCUAACCAAGGGGGUCACGCUGGGGGAAGGAGAUUGAACAAAAGGGAGUGCAAAGCCCACUCAUGGCUUAUGAGAACAUCUGCAAGUUAAACCAUAAAGGAAGUUAAACUAUAAAGGGCCACAGGAUGCCCAGCUAAGGAAUUUUGAGCUAGACAUUUAAAUGAAAGAUUAAAAGACAGUAAUCAUAGAAAAUCUUGAGGCUCUGAAGUAGCUCAAUAUGACGUUUCUGAUCUUUGUU
Molecule: non-coding RNA, 433 nt
Organism: Pelobates cultripes (western spadefoot toad)
Lineage: Eukaryota; Metazoa; Chordata; Amphibia; Anura; Pelobatidae
Source: the annotation of a GenBank genome assembly